This is a long non-coding RNA of Peromyscus californicus insignis, 507 nucleotides long. RefSeq lists it as uncharacterized. The transcript is spliced from 2 exons. The record is from RefSeq and is a predicted model, not a curated record. Lineage: Eukaryota; Metazoa; Chordata; Mammalia; Rodentia; Cricetidae.
UCCCUUCAGGCCAGGGAGAAAAGCUUGUUUGUUCCCGCGUCUGGGCAGUUGCACCCUUCUUCGGGUGGGCUCGUAAGGGGAGUAGAGACUGGAAAAGAGCCGAGAGGUCGAGCCAUGUUGCAUAAUCUGCCAACCCAGGAAAAAUGAUCCGUCUGGUCCCUUCAGUCACUGCCGUCUCCAGACACCUUUUUGUGGACCUGUCUUUGUGUGCCUCUGGACACCGUGCAGACACCUCGGCCGUUGAUUCUGUUGUGUUUUUAGAAUAAAGGCACAACCCCCACCACCACCCAGGGCUCAGUUUGUAAAGCCCCUGCCUAGCAUGCACUAGGCAGGAAGCCCUGGAAUCCAUCUCCAGCACCGUGAGAUGGUGCCCGCCUGUCAUCUCAGUGCUUGGGAGAUGGAGACGAGAGGUUCAAGGCCAGCCUCCGCUACAUAGUAAAUUCGAAGCCAGCCUGGGAUACAUGAAACCCUGUCUCCAAAAUAAAAUAAAAAUGGUCUUUCUGUAAA